RNAcentral lists this ribosomal RNA (260 nucleotides) under uncultured bacterium. Its description in RNAcentral is "partial 16S ribosomal RNA". It matches the Rfam family "Bacterial small subunit ribosomal RNA", at positions 524 to 778 of the family's 1533-position model. The record is from RNAcentral.
UACGUAGGAGGCGAGCGUUGUCCGGAGUUACUGGGCGUAAAGCGCAUGCAGGCGGUCAACUCAGUCUGUGCUGACAGUUCCCGGCUUAACUGGGAAAGUGGUACGGAUACUGGUUGACUUGAGGGCUUCAGAGGGAUGUGGAACUCCGGGGUGGAGUGGUGAAAUGCGUAGAUAUCCGGGAAGAACACCAAAGGCGAAGGCAGCAUCCUGGGGAAGUACCUGACGCUCAGAUGCGAAAGCCCAGGGGGAGCGAAACGGGG